AACGAAAUAGUUUAAAUUAAAAGAAUUUUUGGUUUGCGUCCUUAGGGUGGAUGUUAUCCUUUCGUUG
RNAcentral lists this transfer RNA (67 nucleotides) under Pseudanoplocephala crawfordi. RNAcentral describes it as "tRNA-Ala". The record is from RNAcentral. Lineage: Eukaryota; Metazoa; Platyhelminthes; Cestoda; Cyclophyllidea; Hymenolepididae.